Molecule: ribosomal RNA, 506 nt
Filed under: uncultured Glomeromycotina
Lineage: Eukaryota; Fungi; Glomeromycota
Description: SSU rRNA
Rfam family: Eukaryotic small subunit ribosomal RNA
Source: RNAcentral
AGCAGCCGCGGUAAUUCCAGCUCCAAUAGCGUAUAUUAAAGUUGUUGCAGUUAAAAAGCUCGUAGUUGAAUUUCGGGAUCGAAUUGUUGGUCGUGCUUCGGUACGCACUGGCAUUAUUGGUUCCUACCUUCUGAAGAACUGCGAUGUCAUUAAUUUGGUGUCGUGGGGAAUCAGGACUGUUACUUUGAAAAAAUUAGAGUGUUUAAAGCAGGCUUACGCUUGAAUACAUUAGCAUGGAAUAAUGAAAUAGGACGUUUGAUUCUAUUUUGUUGGUUUCUAGGAUCGACGUAAUGAUUAAUAGGGAUAGUUGGGGGCAUUAGUAUUCAAUUGUCAGAGGUGAAAUUCUUGGAUUUAUUGAAGACUAACUACUGCGAAAGCAUUUGCCAAGGAUGUUUUCAUUAAUCAAGAACGAAAGUUAGGGGAUCGAAGACGAUCAGAUACCGUCGUAGUCUUAACCAUAAACUAUGCCGACUAGGGAUCGGAUGAUGUUAAUUUUUUAAUGACUC